RNAcentral lists this ribosomal RNA (445 nucleotides) under uncultured bacterium. RNAcentral's name for it is "partial 16S ribosomal RNA". It matches the Rfam family "Bacterial small subunit ribosomal RNA", at positions 354 to 796 of the family's 1533-position model. The record is from RNAcentral.
GUGAGGAAUAUUGGUCAAUGGGCGAGAGCCUGAACCAGCCAAGUAGCGUGAGGGAUGACUGCCCUAUGGGUUGUAAACCUCUUUUGCAGGGGGGUAAAGUGGUCCACGUGUGGAUCAUUGCAAGUACCCUGCGAAUAAGGAUCGGCUAACUCCGUGCCAGCAGCCGCGGUAAUACGGAGGAUCCGAGCGUUAUCCGGAUUUAUUGGGUUUAAAGGGAGCGUAGGCGGCGGUUUAAGUCAGCUGUGAAAUGCCGUGGCCCAACCAUGGAACUGCAGUUGAAACUGGAGCUCUUGAGAGUACAUAAGGAAGGCGGAAUUCGUGGUGUAGCGGUGAAAUGCAUAGAUAUCACGAAGAACUCCGAUUGCGAAGGCAGCUUUCCGGGGUACAUCUGACGCUGAAGCUCGAAAGUGCGGGAAUCAAACAGGAUUAGAAACCCGUGUAGUCC